UACGUAGGGCGCAAGCGUUAACCGGAAUUAUUGGGCGUAAAGAGCUCGUAGGCGGUUUGUCGCGUCUGCCGUGAAAGUCCGGGGCUCAACUCCGGAUCUGCGGUGGGUACGGGCAGACUAGAGUGAUGUAGGGGAGACUGGAAUUCCUGGUGUAGCGGUGAAAUGCGCAGAUAUCAGGAGGAACACCUGCGGCGAAGGCGGGUUGCUGGGCUGACACUGACGCUGAUGCGCGAAAGCCAGGGGAGCGAACGGG
This 253-nucleotide ribosomal RNA is filed under the name uncultured bacterium. RNAcentral's name for it is "partial 16S ribosomal RNA". It matches the Rfam family "Bacterial small subunit ribosomal RNA", at positions 524 to 776 of the family's 1533-position model. The record is from RNAcentral.